This 960-nucleotide ribosomal RNA is filed under the name Escherichia coli B90. RNAcentral describes it as "partial 23S ribosomal RNA". The record is from RNAcentral. Lineage: Bacteria; Pseudomonadati; Pseudomonadota; Gammaproteobacteria; Enterobacterales; Enterobacteriaceae.
UCCAGCGAGCAACCUUCACGGGCCACGGUCUGGGCGAACGGAUACAGGUUAACAACCACCAUAUCGAUAGGCUGGAUCUGAUGUUCUUCCAUAAUGGCAUCGUCCUGGCCGCGACGGCCCAGAAUGCCACCAUGUACUUUCGGAUGCAGGGUCUUCACGCGUCCAUCCAUCAUCUCCGGGAAACCGGUGUAAUCGGAAACUUCGGUUACCGGCAGACCUUUUUCUGCUAACAGACGGGCAGUGCCCCCUGUAGACAGCAGCUCCACACCGCGUGCGGAAAGUGCCUGGGCGAAUUCGACGAUACCGGCUUUGUCAGAAACACUGAGCAGAGCGCGGCGGACUGGACGACGUUGUUGCAUGGUAAAUCCCCUGGAUUUGACUAUUACAGAGAGCGUUAGCUGAAUUUUUCGCGAAAAACUCAGCUAACGCCCCUAACGGGGCAUCCUUAUUUUUCGCCCGCAUUGUAACGAAAACGUUUGCGCAACGCUCGCGAAUUUUUUUAAUUCGAUGGCGAUCACGAUUUUGCCCCCGAUUAGCGUGGGAGAAAUAGAGAAAUAACGCUGAUGAUUGUGGAUAACUCUGUGCGUAAAAAGGUAUAAAGCGGGGUUUUGCUGGGGAAUGCAGCAGUCAGUCAUUUUUCUGCAAUUUUUCUAUUGCGGCCUGCGGAGAACUCCCUAUAAUGCGCCUCCAUCGACACGGCGGAUGUGAAUCACUUCACACAAACAGCCGGUUCGGUUGAAGAGAAAAAUUCUGAAAUUCAGGGUUGACUCUGAAAGAGGAAAGCGUAAUAUACGCCACCUCGCGACAGUGAGCUGAAAGCCGCGUCGCAACUGCUCUUUAACAAUUUAUCAGACAAUCUGUGUGGGCACUCGAAGAUACGGAUUCUUAACGUCGCAAGACGAAAAAUGAAUACCAAGUCUCAAGAGUGAACACGUAAUUCAUUACGAAGUUUAAUUCUUU